UCUUUACAGGCAGUGUUUACAACCAUUUCAAAUUGAUUGGGUCCAUUCCCUGAUUAAUUUCAUCAACUACUCUAAAUGGACAUCUAUUAAGCUCUUGAAGUGCCAUCAAGUAUAGCAUGACGGAAACACUUCUUUCACCUCCACUUUGAUGAUGAGGAGUCAAUUCAUGCAUCUCAUCGCUGCUUAUCCAGUGGACAACAGUUAGUGACCUCUGUGAAACAUUACCCUCAUUAAAAACUGAACACUAAUCUAAGUGCUGUGGAUAUAUUGGUCCAUUUCAUCUUAGAACAACCCUACAAGUGCCUGCCUCUCCACCAGACACUGAGCUCUCAAGGCAAGGACUACUGUAUUCUCAGCACUGAUCAUACACAGCCUGGUCCAUUUCAGACUUCAGUAAGUUUGUGCAAAAUAUUUAAGGGUCAUUGAUUUGUUUUGUCCUAAUUUUAAUUCAGUUUUUUCAUCCAGUUAAAGCUUUG
Non-coding RNA from Heterocephalus glaber (naked mole-rat), 476 nucleotides. NCBI's taxonomy places the organism in Eukaryota, Metazoa, Chordata, Mammalia, Rodentia, Bathyergidae. The record is from RefSeq and is a predicted model, not a curated record.